This 86-nucleotide transfer RNA is filed under the name bacterium. Its description in RNAcentral is "tRNA-Leu". It matches the Rfam family "tRNA". Rfam says of the family: Transfer RNA (tRNA) molecules are approximately 80 nucleotides in length. Their secondary structure includes four short double-helical elements and three loops (D, anti-codon, and T loops). The record is from RNAcentral. RNAcentral also lists the same sequence under 3 other names.
GCGAGAGUGGCGGAAUGGCAGACGCGCAAGGCUCAGGACCUUGUGAGGGCAACCUCGUGGGGGUUCAAGUCCCCCCUCUCGCACCA